Molecule: ribosomal RNA, 441 nt
Filed under: uncultured bacterium
Lineage: Bacteria
Description: partial 16S ribosomal RNA
Rfam family: Bacterial small subunit ribosomal RNA
Source: RNAcentral
CCUACGGGUGGCAGCAGUGGGGGAUAUUGCACAAUGGGGGGAACCCUGAUGCAGCGACGCCGCGUGGGUGAAGGAGUGCUUCGGCAUGUAAAGCCCUAUCGGCAGGGAAGAAGCAAGACGGUACCUGACUAAGAAGCCCCGGCUAACGACGGGCCAGCAGCCGCGGUAAAACGUAGGGGGCGAGCGUUAUCCGGAUUCACUGGGUGUAAAGGGAGCGUAGACGGCCAUGCAAGCUAGGGGUGAAAGCCCGGGGCCCAACCCCGGGACUGCCCUUGGAACUGCGUGGCUGGAGUGCGGGAGGGGCAGGCGGAAUUCCUGGUGUAGCGGUGAAAUGCGUAGAUAUCAGGAGGAACACCGGCGGCGAAGGCGGCCUGCUGGACCGCGACUGACGUUGAGGCUCGAAAGCGUGGGGAGCAAACAGGAUUAGAUACCCUGGUAGUC